UGAGGGAAAGGCGAAAAGAACCCCGGCGAGGGGAGUGAAAAAGAACCUGAAACCGUGUACGUACAAGCAGUGGGAGCCCCACCACUAAGCCAGUGGUGAACUCCACAUCCGCAUCCUUUGCUGAGGAUACGGUUAACGGAGCUAAAGCGACGUUCAACCGCAAAACAAGCAGAGGGGGCUUAGUGGUGGGGUGACUGCGUACCUUUUGUAUAAUGGGUCAGCGACUUAUAUUCUGUAGCAAGGUUAACCGAAUAGGGGAGCCGGAGG
RNAcentral lists this ribosomal RNA (267 nucleotides) under Salmonella enterica subsp. enterica serovar Typhimurium. RNAcentral's name for it is "partial 23S ribosomal RNA". It matches the Rfam family "Bacterial large subunit ribosomal RNA", at positions 504 to 672 of the family's 2925-position model. The record is from RNAcentral. Lineage: Bacteria; Pseudomonadati; Pseudomonadota; Gammaproteobacteria; Enterobacterales; Enterobacteriaceae.